AUUGAACGCUGGCGGCAUGCCUUACACAUGCAAGUCGAACGGCAGCACGGGUGCUUGCCCCUGGUGGCGAGUGGCGAACGGGUGAGUAAUACAUCGGAACAUGUCCUGUAGUGGGGGAUAGCCCGGCGAAAGCCGGAUUAAUACCGCAUACGAUCUACGGAUGAAAGCGGGGGACCUUCGGGCCUCGCGCUAUAGGGUUGGCCGAUGGCUGAUUAGCUAGUUGGUGGGGUAAAGGCCUACCAAGGCGACGAUCAGUAGCUGGUCUGAGAGGACGACCAGCCACACUGGGACUGAGACACGGCCCAGACUCCUACGGGAGGCAGCAGUGGGGAAUUUUGGACAAUGGGCGAAAGCCUGAUCCAGCAAUGCCGCGUGUGUGAAGAAGGCCUUCGGGUUGUAAAGCACCUUUGUCCGGAAAGAAAUCCUUGGCCCUAAUACGGUCGGGGGAUGACGGUACCGGAAGAAUAAGCACCGGCUAACUACGUG
This 486-nucleotide ribosomal RNA is filed under the name uncultured bacterium. RNAcentral describes it as "partial 16S ribosomal RNA". It matches the Rfam family "Bacterial small subunit ribosomal RNA", at positions 30 to 507 of the family's 1533-position model. The record is from RNAcentral.